UACGUAGGUCCCGAGCGUUGUCCGGAUUUAUUGGGCGUAAAGCGAGCGCAGGUGGUUUAUUAAGUCUGGUGUAAAAGGCAGUGGCUCAACCAUUGUAUGCAUUGGAAACUGGUAGACUUGAGUGCAGGAGAGGAGAGUGGAAUUCCAUGUGUAGCGGUGAGAUGCGUAGAUAUAUGGAGGAACACCGGUGGCGAAAGCGGCUCUCUGGCCUGUAACUGACACUGAGGCUCGAAAGCGUAGGGAGCAAACAGG
RNAcentral lists this ribosomal RNA (252 nucleotides) under uncultured bacterium. RNAcentral describes it as "partial 16S ribosomal RNA". It matches the Rfam family "Bacterial small subunit ribosomal RNA", at positions 524 to 776 of the family's 1533-position model. The record is from RNAcentral.